Long non-coding RNA from Papaver somniferum (opium poppy), 1466 nucleotides. RefSeq lists it as uncharacterized. The transcript is spliced from 3 exons. The record is from RefSeq and is a predicted model, not a curated record. Lineage: Eukaryota; Viridiplantae; Streptophyta; Magnoliopsida; Ranunculales; Papaveraceae.
UGGGCGCCGUAGUUGUAAAUAUUCUCCAAACCUCCAUUCUUAUGUGGAAUUAAAGAACAUUGAUAAUUCAUUUUUCUUCUUAUAUAUGUUAACUUCCUUUAAAAUGUUCCAAUUGAAACCUGCAACAAACAAUUAACCAUAGAGACAUUGCAUAUGUGGUUAGACCGUUAGAGAACGAAAAAGGUAAGGAGUAUGAGAAAUUGUUCAUUGUAGAUAGAAGGGAUUUUACUGGAGGUUGGAGAAAGUUGGCUUUGGAUCAUGAGUUUGACGAUGGUUAUGCCCUAUUGCCCUUGUAUAUGAUGACUCAUUGACAAAAUAAGAUUUAAGCGAUCACCAACCUCUCUCUUUUCUUGCUUGAAGUUGGUAUCUUUUAAAGUUGGUCGUGACUAUGCUGUAAAACGAUAUUGAUAUUUGUACUUGGACGUACACAUUUAUUCAAAGGGUCUGACAGCGGGGGUGAAGGAAAGGAAACGUGUAGAAUAUAAAAAAUUUUGGAACCAAGAUCUGUUUCGGAAGAGGAUGCUGAACAAAGCGUCAAGCCAUAAGGAGACAAACUCGUAAGGAUCUAUCAAGCGAUACAACCACCAAGUAUUUGUUGGAUGCGUGCAUCAAGUCUGAUGUCAAGUACCUUCCUCAAACAGCAACGUGGAUGUUGGAUAAGGUAUAAUAUAGUGGAAUCUGGAUGGUAAUCCUAUUUAGAAGUGAUAUCUAUCGCGAGCCGGCUUUCAUGUAUACUUUGAAAGGAAGAACCUGUCAGUAGGGAUCAAUAUCUUCAGAUCCAAGCUGAAACAUAGAGGGCGUGCUUGAUCAAGGACCUGAGUUGUUGUGCAUCUCAAAUUGGUUUACGAUACCUUCUUUUUUGAGCUUUAUCGCAAAAGAGCGUCGCUGAGGUUUUUCUUUUAUUGUUCUGAUGGCAGCUUGUUGGAUACUUCUUGGAGACAUUUGUUAAUCCAACCUUUAUCAUUAACCAUCCUCGGCUAAUGAGCCCCUUGGCCAAGUGGCAUAGAUCGUACGUGUUUCAUGCUAUCAUGGAUAUUGUCUUUAUGUUAUUUUAUAUUAAUUCAUCUUCAAUGCAUAUACGAAGUUGAAUGAUCCUGCAUGCGGUACAACAACGUGAGCGCUUUGCCGAACAGUUAAAGGACCGACAAUCUGGUGAUGAGGAGACAGUGACAUUAGACGAAACAUCUUGUACGGCUUUGGAUUACGGAUUGCCCCCUACUGGUUGGCGCUUGGCGAUUGACCGGCUCACUAUGCUGCUUACUGAUUCCCAAAUCAUCAAGUACAAGACAUGCUGUUUAGCCAUAUUGUGAAUCGGGUUCGCUUGUUCUUGACGCGGCUAAUUGCUUCCAGCAUUGUGUGAAAUGAGGACGAGGAGGAAGGGGUCCUUUAUUUUGUGGAAAGAACAAAUCCAAACGUUUUCCACAGAUGCCAACGUCGGGGAUGUAGCUCAGAUGGUAGAGCGCUCG